This 166-nucleotide ribosomal RNA is filed under the name uncultured bacterium. RNAcentral's name for it is "partial 16S rRNA". It matches the Rfam family "Bacterial small subunit ribosomal RNA", at positions 355 to 511 of the family's 1533-position model. The record is from RNAcentral.
UAGGGAAUCUUCGGCAAUGGACGAAAGUCUGACCGAGCAACGCCGCGUGAGUGAAGAAGGUUUUCGGAUCGUAAAAACUCUGUUGGUAGAGAAGAACGUUGGUGAGAGUGGAAAGCUCAUCAAGUGACGGUAACUACCCAGAAAGGGACGGCUAACUACGUACCAG